This 490-nucleotide ribosomal RNA is filed under the name uncultured bacterium. Its description in RNAcentral is "partial 16S ribosomal RNA". It matches the Rfam family "Bacterial small subunit ribosomal RNA", at positions 30 to 507 of the family's 1533-position model. The record is from RNAcentral.
AUUGAACGCUGGCGGCAGGCCUAACACAUGCAAGUCGAACGGUAACAGGGAUCAGCUUGCUGAUUCGCUGACGAGUGGCGGACGGGUGAGUAAUGUCUGGGAAACUGCCUGAUGGAGGGGGAUAACUACUGGAAACGGUAGCUAAUACCGCAUAACGUCGCAAGACCAAAGAGGGGGACCUUCGGGCCUCUUGCCAUCGGAUGUGCCCAGAUGGGAUUAGCUAGUAGGUGGGGUAACGGCUCACCUAGGCGACGAUCCCUAGCUGGUCUGAGAGGAUGACCAGCCACACUGGAACUGAGACACGGUCCAGACUCCUACGGGAGGCAGCAGUGGGGAAUAUUGCACAAUGGGCGCAAGCCUGAUGCAGCCAUGCCGCGUGUAUGAAGAAGGCCUUCGGGUUGCAAAGUACUUUCAGCGGGGAGGAAGGGAGUAAAGUUAAUACCUUUGCUCAUUGACGUUACCCGCAGAAGAAGCACCGGCUAACUCCGUG